UGGGAGACUGUGUGUUCCAGAAGGCUCCU
This 29-nucleotide non-coding RNA is filed under the name Rattus norvegicus (Norway rat). Lineage: Eukaryota; Metazoa; Chordata; Mammalia; Rodentia; Muridae. The record is from RNAcentral.